CCACCGCCGUGCCUCAGCAAGCGCAAACGUCGUGCUCGCAUUGCGCGCUAUUUCUCGAUGCCCGGUACUCGAAAAACCCUCGAAAAUGCUCACGAAAUUUCGGAACACACGAUUGUACUUGACGCCGCUCUUAGCGAAUGAAAAUCAUUGAACUUCUGAGCGUUACGAAAAUAACCGUUGUAACUAAUUGAAAAACAAAAAAAAAAGCAUUCGAGCAAGACGAAAUCUCAGUUUUAUCAGCAAUUAAUUUUUAUUUUUCGCAUCACCGACGCUACCGUCACGGGAAUUCCGAUGCUGCUACGAGUGCAUCGAGAUAAUUAAUCAGGAGAACGAACUCGACGUACUUAUCGAUUCAAACAAAGUCAUAACUUUUCACGAUUAUAAUAAACUCUGUCCUAAAGAUAAAGAAAAAUUGAGCAACCGACAGAAUAAUCGAUAAACAUUAUUUGCAGUCAAAGGAUUUUCGAAUUUUUUGUUACACCUCAAAGUUGUGUCAACACCGCGUAUUUACAUGGAAAUUUCAAUUAUUUUCUGAGUGCAUCGCGAUCGCAGCAGUAGCGACCAUGAAUUCCAUGAACAAAUUAGUUUUCGUAGUGCAAAAACUGUUAAUUUUUACGAGAGCAGAGUGUCGCGACCAAUCGCAAACAAAAGUUUAUAACAUCGAGAAAAUAAUAAGAAUGGAAAAUUGAAGAAUUUCGCGAAGAACUCGUCAAAAGGCCGAUGGAAAGGUAGAAGAGAAGGGGAAGUUAAGGUUAUGCCGAUCGGAUCUCGUCGGCUGGUACCCCGUGCCACUGGUGUAUCGAUGCUCAGCGUUGAAAAUUCGUGGGCGUCUCAAGUACUCGCGUCAGCGACCACAAAUAUCAAAGACAUGGCACGAUUCCAGCAGCGCCAGCUCGCCGAGAAGGAGCAAAAGUUGUUGCAGCUUUACGAUCAGCAGCAACUUCGAGCUCAUCAGGUAGCCCAAAGAGGUAGUGCGGGAUCUAACGGUUCGAAUGGCUCGGGCCACGGUAACACGAGUCAUCAUCAGACUGUCACGAGAACGAGUACGACCACCCACGCGACCUCCAAUUCUCAAGGCGGCGGUGGAAAGGUGCGUCAAAUGUUUGACGAGAGAAGACAAACCACUGUAAAGGGCAUAGACAAGAGUUAUCCGCUGGAGCCACUGGAGAAUCGUUCCCGCAAGCAUCAAACGACGACGACGACGAGCAACGUCACCGUAAAUUCAACGUCCCAACUGAAAAAUGGUAAUCCUACGAGCAAUCGACGAAGCGUCGUGACUCGAAGGACUGUACGUUCCGAGGCGAAUAGCAACGUUAACGACGGUAAACCCGUUGUCACGUAUCACGAGGAAGUGAGCCGGGAAAUCAGCGAUUUGAACGAUCGUGAUAACGAGCAGGAAGAAUUUGGUGAUGACAACUUUCACGUUUCUCGAUACGAGAAUGGUAAUCGCCGUGUCGAUCGGCCCAAUCAGCUGGAAAUCGAAGACGUUACUAACGAAAACACAAGCCAGAGACACAGAACUACUGCAAAAAUUCACCUGGCGGAAUUCGAACGAUCGAACGUAACUAAUCUCGAAAACGAGCCAUUUCCAAACGACGAAAUCAUCAACAUGCCAGAAAAAUUGCCCGGACGAUCAUCAACCGGAAGAAAAUCUUUCCAGUCGGAGACCAAACUUGAACGACCUAAAAUUUCAAACGUCAAAAAAACCGGCCAACCGAUCAAACAGGUCGCUGGUAACACUACGAGCUUUACGAAAAAACGAAACGACAACAGCGCUCUAUCCGGCUCGUCCACCAGAGCGUCAGCAGUGACGAUAAGGAUGGAGGGAGAAGUUUCGAGGGGACGCUCGACGAGUCCGGAACUCGAAGGAUCUAGAAAGUCCAGAACCUCCUCGCCCGAAGUGUCUGAAAAUAAAGGGAAAUUAACGAACCCCGCAGCAUCUCCGGUCACCAAGAUGUCCGGUGUUACGAGAGUCAGUCAGCUUUCUCAGAACAACUCGACUGACUUUUAUCCGCGAAGAAAAUCAGAAUUCGAAAAAUCGAAAACAUUCAGGAAGUUGCAGCUUGAACUGGGAGAGUCUUCGCCCGAACCGAAUGAACCGGAAGAUCUUCCUCCGAGCGUGUUCAGCACUCAGUGCAGGAAGCGAAGCUCCAUUUUUAAUGAAAAUACUCAUUCAUCCGAGCGCCGUUCGUCCGCUUCGAGUGCAGUUUACGAUAAAUUUUACUCGAAGGAAGGAAAAGCGAGUCCCGAAUCCCAAAGUUCGAAUUACCGAAGAGAAUCGCGGGCGGAAAACGAUGACAGAAACACCGAAAGUUCGAGUUUCGAUUCCGACACUUACUCAUCGAAACGUCGAUCGUUCUCGUCGAGCAGCCCAACGAUCGAUCACGGAUUUUCAAACGGACGGAAGGAGAGCCUGGAAAAAUCAUCGAAACGAGCGGAAUCCCAGACGAGAUUCUCGAGUCCGACUUUUCGGCGAAAAUCAACGUCGAAAAAUGAAGAAAGCAAAACUCUCGACGAAGGAACGAAAACCUCGACCUUUGACUCGAGCACUUAUUCUUCGAAGCAGCAUUCGACGACGUGGAAUCCAACUGGAAAUCGUGAUUUCUCGAAAGAACGAAAAACGAGUCAGGAAAAGUCAGGAUCUCCCGGACAACCCCAGAGUUCAAAUUAUCCAAGAAAAUCGGCAGAGACUAAAGAACGUCGAAAGACUUCAAAAGAGGAAAUUCACAAAACAAGCUUUGACUCGACCACCGAUUACUUGAGACGUCGCUCAUCGUCUUCGAGUCCCUUUGGCGAAAAUGAUUCAUCGCAGAAACGUAGAAAGAGCUACGAGAAGUCGCCGGAACGUCCGGAAUCUCGAGCAGGAUCCACGACCUCAAGCUAUCGAAGAGAUUCUCUGACGAGCCGCGAUGAGCGGAGGACGAAAUCCAACUACGAAUCGAGUACUUUUGCCUCGCGAAUUCGUUCGGGGUCUCCCAUGUUGAUUGUGGACUACGAUCUGUCAGAAGAGCGAUCCGCGAUCUACGAGACGUCGCAAAAUCGUCCAGCCUCUCGAGGGAGAUCUCAAAGCCCGACUCCUCGAGGAGAAUCUAUGAUGGAACGUGAUGAAAAAUUCUACGAAAAUGACUCGAAAAACUUCGCUUCCAGCACUUACUCCUCGAGACAACAUUCGGCCUCUCCGGUCCCGCCGGUCGAGCACGGUUACUCCGAAGAUGAAGAACCGAGUCGUAAAAUAUCAUACGAAGCUCCGAGAUCUCGGGGAGGAUCCGAGAGUCCGACCGGUCGUCGAGAAUCGGUCGUUGAACGUGAUGAAAGAUCGGCUGAACGACGCACGACGAAUUUUGCCUCAAGCACUUAUGCCUCGAGGCAACAUGUCGCGCAUCCAACUUCCCCGGGUGAUGAUCGCCAUCCCGAAGACCGUCGAACGAGCCACUCGAUAUCGCACGAAGCUCCAGGCUCCCGAGAACGAUCUCAAAGCCCAAAUCGUCGGGGAUCGUUAAUCGAACACGACGAACGUUCGACCGGAAACGAUACGAGUUUUGCCUCCUCGACUUUCUCCUCGAGACAACAUGCAGCCUAUCCGGCGUCAACGGCGGAUGAUCCAUACCCGGAAGACCGUCAAACGAGUCACACACUGUCGCACCGCGGCCCGGGGUCCCGAGAACGAUCUCAGAGCCCGGUUUACCCUCGGGAAUCGUUCAUCGAACGCGAUGAACGUUCGACCGGAAAAGAUUUUGCCUCGCCUACUUUCUCCUCGAGGCAACAUGCCGCGUGGCCAAUGGCAUCGGACGAAUAUUCUCAAACCCGCGUAACGAGUCACACGAUGUCACACGAAGCUCGAGACACUCGAGAACGAUCUCAGAGUCCAGCUUACCGGCGAGAAUCGAUCACUGAACAUGACGAAAGGUCGAUUAAAAGAGAGACAGCAAAGUUCGCUUCGGCGAAUUUCUCCACGAGACAGCAUUCGGACUAUACAACUUCGUACGGCGAUGGCAAUCGUUCCGAAGAUCGAAAAACGAGUUACACAAUAUCCCAGGAAGCUCCGCGUUCUCGAGAACGAUCCCAGAGUCCAACUUUUCGGAGGGGAUCAUACGUGAAAGAUCUGGAUGCAGCGGGUGUAGCGAGUGGAGAAGCCGAGACAUCGAGUUACGAAGCAAGUACUUUUUCUUCGAGAUGCCAUUCGACUUUCCAGGCUCCGACGGCGGAUUACGAUUUUCCAAGCCAAGGGAGGGCCGGUCGAGAAAAAUCCCCGGAAGAUAGGAGUCCUCGAAGAGAAUCACAAAGCCCAAUUCAUCGGAGGGAAUCAAUCGUGAAGAGCGACGAUAAAAAGGCAUCGACGUUCGCCUCGAGUGCUUAUUCUUCGAGGCGUCGUUCUUCCUCUUCCAGUCCAAUUCUCGAUUCUGACAUUCCGAAAGAACGAGCACGCGGCCACGAUCGCGAUGACUUGAUUCUCCAAAAUCGUCCUAAAUCCGGAGAGAAUCUCCGAUCUUUCGAGCUAAUAAAAAAGAUCGUUCGUCCUCCGAGCCCAGAUAAAAAGACAAACGCAACAUCAACCAAAAAGGCAUCGACCGAUCGUCGAACGACUCUCGAGGAUAUCGAACUUUCCACGGAAUCUUCGAAACUCCGUGAAACGACGAAACGACCCAAGUCUCCGGUGCACAAAGUUGUGAAAAAAGACAAACCUCCCACGGCAAUGACGAAACGAGAAAAAACGACGAAAACCAGCGAGACGAAUACUCGUGGCUCCGGAUCAAGGACCAUUUCUCCGUCACCUGACACCGCCAUUGCAGGCCCAGCCGCUUUCGAAGUGACGAAAAAUGAGUGCAGGCCUACUGGCAACAAAAAAAUAGAGACAAAAGUCCAACGGAACUCGAAAGAUACAAAUUCGACGAAGGAGAAAGCGAUGAAAAAAGCAAAUUCUGAUGUCAGCCGUCCCGACGAUGGGAAAGAUUCGAGAAGAUCGUCCUCGGAAAUCACUGUGAAACGUCACGAUACUUUCAAAGUCGCCAAACCCAAUGAAAACACCGUAAACGUCUGUCCCGAAGCGAUCGGCAAAGACAAAGAAGAAAAUUUGGCUAAGAAAAGUCGUGAGGAAUUCAAGGACAAAAGUCAGCUCCUCGAAAGGAUCGAGAAGAUACGAAGCACUUUGUCCCGCAGUGGAAGAUCGGAGCAGAAUUUACGAUCGAACGGAUUCGAACGUACGGAUUCGGUCGAAUCAGCGUUGAAGCGGUUCGACUCGAUCGGCGUCGAGACCGAGCAUCACGUGACCGUAGGUGUCGACGAGCCGGACAGAGUCCCGCCGAAGGCAAAGUCGGAGACAUUUUAUUCGACUGACGUGAAAAAAAUACCGGUCACGGAGGAGAUAAUAGUUAAGAAAACCAUCGCGCCGUUGUGCAGACCCGCGAAAACGACGGUCGCGGUUGUCAAGGCUCAGCCGAGACAAACCGAUGCGAAAUCUCUGACUCCUGGGAGAGAAAGAGAAGUUGCUAAAUCGGGGAAAUCUAAGAGAGAAAAAUCUAUGACAACUGUGACUACGCCGCGGAACACCGACAAGAAAAUGGUGUCGAAAUCACACGAGGCUCAGAAAAGAGCCACUUCGAUGGUGAAAAAGUCACGACUCCGCAGCGAAGAGCCCUCGGGACGCGGAGAAGGGCGUCGAAUGGACUCUUCGCCUCUUUGCAAAAGAAAGUUAUUCGAAGAUUCGGAAUCCGAAAUGGAGAGUGAAAAUGUGAGCUCGACGAUUGUCCUGACAGCGACGACGAGAGUGACGAACAACAGUCCGAUCAUAAUGGAAAUCGAGACGAAAAAUAACCGGGAAAGCGUGAGGAAUAGUGCGAAAGGUUCUUUGAAAAUGGAAUCAUCCUUCGGGGAGUCGAAAAUGGAAAACGAACCGGCGAAAAUUUUACGCUCGAUCGAGGAUAUUCGCAAAUCCAUAAAACGCGAGAGUCAGGAUUUCAAACGCGAAUUGAAUAAAUUUAACAAAGCUAUGAGAAGGAAUAGCUCGACAAGGGACAGCCCCGAUUCAAUCCUGACCUCGGGCACCGUAUCUUGCGGUCGCGAAAAGUCAGAGUCCUGAUAUCGGCACCAAACGGUCCGUGGAUACGAGAACGAAAACGACGACGAAUAACCUCGUCAGGAGAAGCGUUCCAUCAUCGCCCGCCAGAAUCGCUGACACCUCCAACAGGUGCGGCUCUAGCGAGCUCAGAGUUUCAGAAGCGAAAUCAUCGAUGAGGACAUUAUCGAGUCCGGGGUCCCGGGAGACAAAAAAUCUAAGAGAAUACUCGAUAACAACGGAAUACACGGACGUCACAGACGGGACGCGAAACGGUUGUGAAACCACCGAAACUGAAAUCAUGCAAACGGCGACAACGA
RNAcentral lists this unclassified non-coding RNA (6372 nucleotides) under Venturia canescens. Its description in RNAcentral is "serine/arginine repetitive matrix protein 2-like, transcript variant X2". The record is from RNAcentral. Lineage: Eukaryota; Metazoa; Arthropoda; Insecta; Hymenoptera; Ichneumonidae.